UCGUUUAGUAUCACUCAGGGCAUGUUUACGUAUCAGUAAUGGGUAUGGGAGGAAAGGAAAUGAUUUCCAUUCCUGACUUCCUCUGCGUUUACUUGCAAUCAAGAAUGAAAAAAAUAAGUGGACCCCACCUCAAAAUCCGUAAUCACAUCCCCUCAAAACUAGGUAUCAGAUCAACUAGAAGGGAGUAGUCGAUACGAUUCCCAUUCCUGUUUUCUCUUAUUAACUUCCAAAAAUACCCUUACCACUUUACCAUAAUUUCAAAACACCCAAACCCUAAAAAAAACAAAACCUCACGCCAAGAAGUUCCAAGACGCUCCAACCCUAAAAAAAAUAAAAACUCAGUUCCAAGAAGUUCCAUGUAUUUAAUCGUAUGAAGAUUAUGCAUGUCAUUAUUAUUUGAUUGUUUACUAGUUACGUAGGUGAAAGAUAUAUAUUCAUUGGAGUUUAUCUUUUCGUUUGAAAUUGGCUCUGGACAAAGAUGUUAUUAACAUUAUCAUUGAACUGGGCUCCUAUUGUUCAUCUUGUUCAGCAUAUUGAUUCCUCAUGUUUACACCACCUUACUAGUUUUCUGCAUGAUUAGUUUAGUC
RNAcentral lists this long non-coding RNA (587 nucleotides) under Prunus persica (peach). RNAcentral's name for it is "long non-coding RNA (PPER_LNC005706)". The record is from RNAcentral. Lineage: Eukaryota; Viridiplantae; Streptophyta; Magnoliopsida; Rosales; Rosaceae.